AGACUAAGCCAUGCAAGUCGAACGUCCCCAGCUAUGGUGGGACGUGGCACACGGCUCAGUAGCACGUAGUCAACCUGCCCUAUGGACGGCGACAACGUCGGGAAACUGACGCUAAUAGCCGACGGGGAACGGGUUCUGGAAUGGCCCAUUCUCGAAAGGUUGGGGGACCAUGCUUUCCUCAAUGCCGUAGGAUGGGACUGCGACCGAUCAGGCUGAUGGCGGGGUAAAGGCCCACCAUACCUAUAACCGGUGCGGGCCCUGAGAGGGGGAGCCCGGAGAUGGAUCCUGAGACAAGGAUCCAGGCCCUACGGGGCGCAGCAGGCGCGAAACCUCCGCUAUGUGCGAAAGCACGACGGGGUCACCCCGAGUGUCGGCCGCUGAGGUUGGCUUUUCUCCGGUCCAAAAGGCCGGGGGAAUAAGGGGAGGGCAAGAUUGGUGUCAGCCGCCGCGGUAAUACCAACUCCCCGAGUGGUUGGGAUGAUUACUGGGCUUAAAGCGUCCGUAGCCUGUCCGACGAGUUCUUCGUUAAAUCCGGCGUCCCAAGCGUCGGGCUGCGGAGAAUACUGUCGGACUUGGGAGUGGAAGAGGCCGGCGGUACUCUCUGGGGAGGGGUAAAAUCCACAGAUCCAGGGAGGACCACCAGUGGCGAAGGCGGCCGGCUAGGACACGUCCGACGGUGAGGGACGAAAGCUGGGGGAGCGAUUCGGAUUAGAUACCCGGGUAGUCCCAGCUGUAAACGAUGCAGGCUAGGUGUGUGGGUGGUCAAGUGCUGCUCAUGUGCCGUAGGGAAACCGUUAAGCCUGCCGCCUGGGAAGUACGGUC
RNAcentral lists this ribosomal RNA (822 nucleotides) under uncultured archaeon. Its description in RNAcentral is "bacterial SSU rRNA". It matches the Rfam family "Archaeal small subunit ribosomal RNA", at positions 41 to 842 of the family's 1478-position model. The record is from RNAcentral.